RNAcentral lists this ribosomal RNA (600 nucleotides) under uncultured archaeon. RNAcentral describes it as "bacterial SSU rRNA". It matches the Rfam family "Archaeal small subunit ribosomal RNA", at positions 80 to 682 of the family's 1478-position model. The record is from RNAcentral.
GGCGGACUGCUCAGUAACACGUGGAUAACGUGCCCUUAAGAGGAGGAUAAUCUCGGGAAACUGAGGAUAAUACUCCAUAGUUCAUGGAAUCUGGAAUGAUCCAUGGAUGAAAGUUCCGGCGCUUAAGGAUCGGUCUGCGGCCUAUCAGGUCGUAGUGGGUGUAACGUACCUACUAGCCUAUGACGGGUAUGGGCCUUGAGAGAGGGAGCCCAGAGUUGGAUUCUGAGACACGAAUCCAGGCCCUACGGGGCGCAGCAGUCGCGAAAACUUCACAAUGGGGGCAACCCCGAUGAGGGAAUUCCUAAUGCUAGCACAUUUGUGUUAGCUUUUCUUUAGCGUAGAUAACUAGAGGAAUAAGGGCUGGGAAAGACGGGUGCCAGCCGCCGCGGUAAUACCUGCAGCCCAAGUGGUGGUCGAGUUUAUUGAGUCUAAAACGUUCGUAGCCGGUUCGGUAAAUCUUUGGGUAAAUCGGGGGGCUUAACCUUCCGACUUCCGAGGAGACUGCCGAACUUGGGACCGGGAGAGGCUAGAGGUACUUCUGGGGUAGGGGUAAAAUCCUGUAAUCCUAGAAGGACCACCGGUGGCGAAGGCGUCUAGGUA